RNAcentral lists this ribosomal RNA (412 nucleotides) under uncultured bacterium. RNAcentral's name for it is "bacterial SSU rRNA". It matches the Rfam family "Bacterial small subunit ribosomal RNA", at positions 29 to 424 of the family's 1533-position model. The record is from RNAcentral.
AACGAACGCUGGCGGCGUGCCUAACACAUGCAAGUCGUGCGAGAAAGUUCCUUCGGGAGCGAGUAAAGCGGCGCACGGGUGAGUAACACGUAGGUAACCUGCCCCCCAGUCUGGAACAACUAGAGGAAACCCUCUAGCUAAUGCCGGAUGAGACCACGAUCCCUUCGGGGGUUGCGGCCAAAGAUGGCCUCUACUUGUAAGCUAUCGCUGAGGGAUGGGCCUGCGGGCCAUUAGCUUGUUGGUGAGGUAACGGCUCACCAAGGCUGUGAUGGCUAGCUGGUCUGAGAGGAUGACCAGCCACACUGGGACUGAGACACGGCCCAGACUCCUACGGGAGGCAGCAGUGGGGAAUAUUGCGCAAUGGGCGAAAGCCUGACGCAGCGACGCCGCGUGGGUGAUGAAGGCCUCGGUC